AGGAGCUGGAGGCCCUCAGAUUCUCUGAGAUGGCCACAGCUGCAUCUGUGAGCCGGCAGACUGGGAAGGCCUGCAUAUUUGGCACAACGUCCCUCGUCUCCCACUGCCUGAGGAAGCGGGAAGGAGAACCUAGAAAAAGUUCUUUUCAAGGUCCCCUGGCUGCUGGACAUGGUGGUGUCCCAGGUGGAGGCUGUAGCCUCCCUGACUUCCUCAGGCCGAGUCAUCGUCUUUCCCAGGUUUAAAUGGGAGUUUGCACCCAAACUACCAUCUGGGAAACCCUGCAGGGCCU
Long non-coding RNA from Lagopus leucura (white-tailed ptarmigan), 289 nucleotides. RefSeq lists it as uncharacterized. The transcript has 3 exons. NCBI's taxonomy places the organism in Eukaryota, Metazoa, Chordata, Aves, Galliformes, Phasianidae. The record is from RefSeq and is a predicted model, not a curated record.